GGGCCUGUAGUCGAAUGGUUAAGACGUCGCCCUUACGAGGCGAAGAUUCUGGGUUCGAUUCCCAGCGGGCCCA
This 73-nucleotide transfer RNA is filed under the name Microcaldota archaeon. Its description in RNAcentral is "Candidatus Micrarchaeota archaeon (hot springs metagenome) tRNA-Val". It matches the Rfam family "tRNA". Rfam says of the family: Transfer RNA (tRNA) molecules are approximately 80 nucleotides in length. Lineage: Archaea; Nanobdellati; Microcaldota. The record is from RNAcentral.